GACGAACCGUGCGAACGUUAUUCGGAAUCACUGGGCUUAAAGCGCGUGUAGGCGGGCCGCCACGUCGGCUGCUGAAAUCCCCCGGCUCAACCGGGGAAGUGGCACCGAUACGAGCGGCCUGGAGGGGGGUAGGGGGGUCUGGAACUUCCGGUGGAGCGGUGAAAUGCGUUGAGAUCGGAAGGAACGCCCGUGGCGAAAGCGAGGCCCUGGACCCUUACUGACGCUGAGGCGCGAAAGCGUGGGUAGCAAACAGG
Molecule: ribosomal RNA, 254 nt
Filed under: uncultured bacterium
Lineage: Bacteria
Description: partial 16S ribosomal RNA
Rfam family: Bacterial small subunit ribosomal RNA
Source: RNAcentral